CAAAGAACCGCAGAUGGCAGAUCUUGAUGUCUAUUUGUUGAAGAAGGUUGGACUCUUUCCGGAUAUUCUAGAAAGGAAAGCAUCACGCCACCUAGAAAAAGGAGAUCAUGUUUCCGCUCUUAUUACUGGAGAAUUCUAUACGAGAGAUCAAUUUCCUGGAUUUGGAAGACCG
This is a long non-coding RNA of Hordeum vulgare subsp. vulgare (domesticated barley), 172 nucleotides long. RefSeq lists it as uncharacterized. The record is from RefSeq and is a predicted model, not a curated record. The transcript is spliced from 3 exons. Lineage: Eukaryota; Viridiplantae; Streptophyta; Magnoliopsida; Poales; Poaceae.